GAUGAAUAACGUAGCGAAAUGCGAUAAGUAAUGCGAAUUGCAGAAUUCCAGUGAGUCAUCGAAUCUUUGAACGCACAUUGCGCCCGCUAGUAUUCUGGCGGGCAUGCCUGUCCGAGCGUCAUUUCAACCCUCAAGCCCCCGGGCUUGGUGUUGGGGAUCGGCGAGCCUCCGCGCCCGCCGUCCCCUAAAUCUAGUGGCGGUCUCGCUGUAGCUUCCUCUGCGUAGUAGCACACCUCGCACUGGGAAACAGCGCGGCCACGCCGUUAAACCCCCAACUUCUGAACGUUUGACCUCGGAUCAGGUAGGAAUACCCGCUGAACUUAAGCAUAUCAAUAAGCGGAGGA
RNAcentral lists this unclassified non-coding RNA (344 nucleotides) under soil metagenome. RNAcentral's name for it is "partial contains 5.8S ribosomal RNA, internal transcribed spacer 2, and large subunit ribosomal RNA". The stretch from base 1 to 121 matches the Rfam family "5.8S ribosomal RNA", at positions 35 to 154 of the family's 154-position model. The record is from RNAcentral.